AUACGGAGGAUGCGAGCGUUAUCCGGAUUUAUUGGGUUUAAAGGGUGUGUAGGCGGUUUGUCAAGUCAGCGGUGAAACGCAAGGGCUUAACCCUUGACCUGCCGUUGAAACUGAUUGACUAGAAUGCGGAUGCUGUGGGAGGAUUGUGUGGUGUAGCGGUGAAAUGCAUAGAUAUCACACAGAACACCGAUUGCGAAGGCAUCUCACAAAUCCGUGAUUGACGCUGAGGCACGAAAGUGUGGGGAUCAAACAGGAUUAGAUACCCUGGUAGUCCACACUGUAAACGAUGAUGACUCGCUGUCGGCGAUAUACAGUCGGUGGCCAAGCGAAAGCGAUAAGUCAUCCACCUGGGGAGUACGACCGCAAGGUUGAAACUCAAAUGAAUUGGCGGGG
This 393-nucleotide ribosomal RNA is filed under the name uncultured bacterium. RNAcentral describes it as "partial 16S ribosomal RNA". It matches the Rfam family "Bacterial small subunit ribosomal RNA", at positions 523 to 918 of the family's 1533-position model. The record is from RNAcentral.